RNAcentral lists this ribosomal RNA (404 nucleotides) under uncultured bacterium. RNAcentral's name for it is "partial 16S ribosomal RNA". It matches the Rfam family "Bacterial small subunit ribosomal RNA", at positions 28 to 526 of the family's 1533-position model. The record is from RNAcentral.
GACGAACGCUGGCGGCGUGCCUAAUACAUGCAAGUCGAACGCAGUGGGGACGGGUGAGUAAAACGUGGGUAAUCUCCCAUCAGAGGGGAUAACACUUGGAAACAGGUGCUAAAACCGAUACUGAUGGAUGGACCCGCGGUGCAGUAGCUAGAUGGUGAGGUAACGGCCCACCAAGGCGACGAUGCAUAGCUGACCUGAUGGGGUGAUCGGCCGCACGGGAACUGAGACACGGCCCAGACUCCUACGGGAGGCAGCAGUAGGGACUCUUCUGCAAUGGACUCAAGUCUGACCGAGCAACGCCGCGGGAGUGAAGAAGGUUUUCGGUUCGUAAAGCUCUUUUAUUAGAGAAGCGGUAUCUAACCAGAAAGCCACGGCUAACUCCGUGCCAGCAGCCGCGGUAAUUC